This 101-nucleotide Y RNA is filed under the name Microcebus murinus (gray mouse lemur). Its description in RNAcentral is "Y RNA (ENSMICG00000047866.1)". It matches the Rfam family "Y RNA". Rfam says of the family: Y RNAs are components of the Ro ribonucleoprotein particle (Ro RNP), in association with Ro60 and La proteins. The Y RNAs and Ro60 and La proteins are well conserved, but the function of the Ro RNP is not known. In humans the RNA component can be one of four small RNAs -- hY1, hY3, hY4 and hY5. The record is from Rfam by way of RNAcentral. Lineage: Eukaryota; Metazoa; Chordata; Mammalia; Primates; Cheirogaleidae.
AGUUGGUCCGAGUGCAGUGGUGUUUACAACUAAUUGAUCACAACCAGUUACAGAUUCCUUUGUUCUUUCUCCAAUCCACUGCUCCACUUGACCAGCCUUUA